CAGUAGCCGCGGUAAUACGUAGGUCCCGAGCGUUGUCCGGAUUUAUUGGGCGUAAAGCGAGCGCAGGCGGUUUGAUAAGUCUGAAGUUAAAGGCUGUGGCUCAACCAUAGUUCGCUUUGGAGACUGUCAAACUUGAGUGCAGAAGGGGAGAGUGGAAUUCCAUGUGUAGCGGUGAAAUGCGUAGAUAUAUGGAGGAACACCGGUGGCGAAAGCGGCUCUCUGGUCUGUAACUGACGCUGAGGCUCGAAAGCGCGGGGAGCGAACAGGAUUAGAUACCCCCGUAGUCCCUGUCUCUUAUACC
Molecule: ribosomal RNA, 301 nt
Filed under: uncultured bacterium
Lineage: Bacteria
Description: partial 16S ribosomal RNA
Rfam family: Bacterial small subunit ribosomal RNA
Source: RNAcentral